AUCUCUUGUCUGUUUUCUCUUAAAGAAACCAUGGGAUGGGUGACACGUCUAUCAAGUUUGAAGUGGUUCCUGGGAAAAACCAGAAGAGUGAAUACGUCAUGGCGUGUGGCAAGCACACAGUGCGCGGGUGGUGUAAGAACAAGAGAGUUGGAAAGCAGUUAGCCUCACAGAAGAUCCUUCAGCUGCUGCACCCACAUGUCAAGAACUGGGGGUCUUUACUGCGCAUGUACGGCCGUGAGAGCAGCAAGAUGGUCAAGCAGGAGACGUCGGACAAGAGUGUGAUUGAGCUGCAGCAGUAUGCCAAGAAGAACAAGCCCAACCUGCACAUCCUCAGCAAGCUCCAAGAGGAGAUGAAGAGGCUAGCUGAGGAGAGGGUGAGUGCCACCCUAGCAGGAGGGCUGCCGGGCCACAGCCAUUCCUGUGGCAGCUGUGGAGGGACAGCAGACCCCAGGACCCAUGCCUGAGCUGACACCUUGGAAAUGCUUGGAUCCUCCUUCCAAAAUCAGAUACAGGCUUUUCUUUGAGCUUCAACGUGUGUGAUACUUUUAUAAAUCA
RNAcentral lists this small RNA (555 nucleotides) under Pongo abelii (Sumatran orangutan). RNAcentral's name for it is "retained intron". Lineage: Eukaryota; Metazoa; Chordata; Mammalia; Primates; Hominidae. The record is from RNAcentral.